RNAcentral lists this small nuclear RNA (290 nucleotides) under Erinaceus europaeus (western European hedgehog). RNAcentral's name for it is "7SK RNA". It matches the Rfam family "7SK RNA". From Rfam's summary of the family: 7SK was discovered as an abundant small nuclear RNA in the mid-70s but a possible function has only recently been suggested. Lineage: Eukaryota; Metazoa; Chordata; Mammalia; Eulipotyphla; Erinaceidae. The record is from Rfam by way of RNAcentral.
GGAUACGAUGGUGAUAGACCUAUGACAUCUGUCACCCUACUGAUCACCAGAGUUAACUAGACUGAUGUCGCUGGCUAGGCAGGUGUCCCCAUCCUCCCUCACUGAUUCAUAUGUAUCCCUCCUGAAGCUGUGCACUUGGUCAAAAGAGGACAGCCUUCUCCUAUUAGAGACAGAUCUGUCUUCAAGGGUAUAAGAGUAACUGCACUCCCCAGCUACAAUCUCCAAACGAGAUCUCAAGAAGACCUAUACUGACUUUAAUAUAUAACACUGCUUGCCUACCACCACCUUGU